CGGAUGUUAGGCUUUGGACAAACGGAAUAUAUCCGCGUUGUCCAAGCAAAACUGGACAGAUUGUGGUUCCAAUCAUGAUGGGGAUCUAUAUGCUUUUCACCAAUAUACUCCUUCUCAACCUUCUGAUUGCUAUGUUCAGUCACACAUUCGAUAGUAUUCAUAAGCGAUCGGAAUCGCUGUGGUGUUAUCAGCGAUACUUCAUACUGAAGGAGUACGGAAUGAGACCUGUUAUAUGUCCUCCUCUAAACAUAUGUUGGCACAUAUACGAUCUUGUCCAACGCGUGUGCUGUCGACACGCGACUGUAGAAGAUCCUUUUCGAUUUGAUAACGACGAAAAACGCUCAAACAGUGCUAGAACAGAUGCUAAAGAGUCAACAAUUAUUAAGAUAAAUUACGGCAUGCCUGAUUAUCAUUUCGCUGAUCUGCAAAAGAGGGUCAGAACUCUUGUAUGCAAGGUGUAUGGUGAUGUGGACACGAUCGUUGAGAAGACUUAUAGCUCUACCGAAGAUCGUUAUUUUGAACGUCGGUUAUCACAAAUGGCUAACACGUUGCAAUCGCUAUGGAAAGUGGUAUCUUCAUUUAGCAAUACACGUACCAACUUUCGCCUAGAGGAAUACUUAAAAACAAGCGAAGUGGAUUUUUAUGACAAGCACC
Long non-coding RNA from Dreissena polymorpha, 654 nucleotides. RefSeq lists it as uncharacterized. The record is from RefSeq and is a predicted model, not a curated record. Lineage: Eukaryota; Metazoa; Mollusca; Bivalvia; Myida; Dreissenidae. The transcript is spliced from 3 exons.